Long non-coding RNA from Grammomys surdaster, 216 nucleotides. RefSeq lists it as uncharacterized. The record is from RefSeq and is a predicted model, not a curated record. The transcript has 3 exons. Lineage: Eukaryota; Metazoa; Chordata; Mammalia; Rodentia; Muridae.
AACUUCUUUCAUUUUGUUCUGGCGCUCUAAGAUAGGCAGGGACAGCCGGUGGAGAUUGAGCGCACGGCCUUCGUGGACUUUGUGGAGAACGACAAAGAGCAAGGCAAUGAGAAGACCAACAAUGGUACUCAUUACAAGUUACAGCUCCUUUACAGCAAGGGUGUCCUUACAGAGCAGGACCUCUAUGUCAGGCUCAUCGACUCUGUCACCAAACAG